GCGCCGCUAGUGUAGUGGUAUCACGCAAGACUUCCAUUCCUGCGACCCUGCUUCGAUCCCCGGGCGGCGCA
This 71-nucleotide transfer RNA is filed under the name Dreissena polymorpha. It matches the Rfam family "tRNA". Rfam says of the family: Transfer RNA (tRNA) molecules are approximately 80 nucleotides in length. Their secondary structure includes four short double-helical elements and three loops (D, anti-codon, and T loops). Further hydrogen bonds mediate the characteristic L-shaped molecular structure. tRNAs have two regions of fundamental functional importance: the anti-codon, which is responsible for specific mRNA codon recognition, and the 3' end, to which the tRNAs corresponding amino acid is attached (by aminoacyl-tRNA synthetases). tRNAs cope with the degeneracy of the genetic code in two manners: having more than one tRNA (with a specific anti-codon) for a particular amino acid; and 'wobble' base-pairing, i.e. permitting non-standard base-pairing at the 3rd anti-codon position. Lineage: Eukaryota; Metazoa; Mollusca; Bivalvia; Myida; Dreissenidae. The record is from Rfam by way of RNAcentral.